UACGGAGGGUGCGAGCGUUAAUCGGAAUCACUGGGCGUAAAGCGCGCGUAGGCGGCUUUUCAAGUCAGGGGUGAAAUCCCACGGCCCAACCGUGGAACUGCCCUUGAAACUGUAGAGCUUGAGUGUCGGAGAGGGUGGCGGAAUUCCAGGUGUAGGAGUGAAAUCCGUAGAUAUCUGGAGGAACACCGGUGGCGAAGGCGGCCACCUGGACGACAACUGACGCUGAGGUGCGAAAGCGUGGGUAGCAAACAGG
This 253-nucleotide ribosomal RNA is filed under the name uncultured bacterium. Its description in RNAcentral is "partial 16S ribosomal RNA". It matches the Rfam family "Bacterial small subunit ribosomal RNA", at positions 524 to 776 of the family's 1533-position model. The record is from RNAcentral.